Molecule: long non-coding RNA, 1476 nt
Filed under: Homo sapiens (human)
Lineage: Eukaryota; Metazoa; Chordata; Mammalia; Primates; Hominidae
Description: HSALNT0151893
Source: RNAcentral
UGCUCUUCUUCCAUGUGAGGACAUGAUAUUUCUCCUCUCCAGAGGAUGCACCACCUUGACACUGGACUUCUCAGCCUCUGGAACGUUUUAAAAUGCUUAUUUACAGAACAAGACUUAGAAUGACAGCAUGAGGAACUGCAUGAACGCUCUUCCAAUCAAAUCAACUAUCACCAAUGAAAACAUGUUUUUUAACUAUUUCGAAUCUCUGGAAAUUGUUCUCAGAUCAACACCAAGUGAAAAUACACAUUUAUUCAAUAAAAUCUACCAAAUCUUAAGUAGAAACAGCAGAUUCCUGUGGUUCCUGAGACUUGCCCACCUCUUGCCUCAUUCAUCUUCCAACUUAGCAUAAUGGAAAUUCCACCACAAGUCGGCGUGGCCAAGGAGAUGGGGCUCCCUCUUCUGCAGGCUCCAAGUUGAGGGCUGCGGUCUCCUCCUUGGACAGGGAGUCUGACAGCAUCACUCAUCCCCCGCCAGCUCUGUGCUGUAGAGGCUAAAUUUCAAGCAAGCAUGACUGAGAGGGUUGGGGCUUCCCUCUUACUCCUAGACCAGAGUGUGAAGGUUCUGCCAAGAGCAUGACAGGCCAAGAAUAUUAGGGCCCUGAUCAUCCUUGGCACAUUUCAGUCACAGAGCAAACAUUUCUUGCUGGUAGAGUUAAUCCAAGAGGACCAGAGGCUGUCACCACAGUCCAGCACACAACUCAAAGCAGUGGCCACUCUGAGAAAAGUGGCUCAAUCCCUGAGCAGGGGCUCCGAAACUUAGCCCAAGUGGAGAGGCAGGUCACAGAACAGAGUUCCAAAGCUUUCCACAAAGAGACUAACAUUAUUUAGAAAAGAAUAUGGAGAAAUUCAUGCCUAAGUGUUCUCUUAAAACCAAAGGUGAUUUUGUUGUCAAGCAAUGAAGAGGAGGCUGUUCUCUCCAGGAGAGCAAUGGGCUAAACUAUAAGCUCGUUAAUUUACUAGGGAGAACCAGAGAAUGACACAGCUUUCCUUACUGUCCUUUGAGAACAAACCUCAAAGACUGGUCUCAAAAACUAUCCCUAAAAAGAGACAAUAUUUAAUUGACUCAGGCUAUAGAGAAAAUUAUGUUCCAGGGAAUUGUCAAAAAAAAAAAGAGUAAUCACUUGAUAAUUAGUAAACCUGGGCUCAAAACCAGUAGAGGCAGACAGCUUGACAGAGGGACAAAGGAAAGCGCUAUUCAGAAAGAGCCCACAUCCAUAGACUGCCAUCCUAGGGCAGCUGCGUUCAUGUCCACGGUUGUGUGUGCUCUUGGAGAAGUGACAUCAGAUUCUCCACAUAAUGAGAUCAGUAGACAUCACUAAAAUAAUUCCACCAAGUUGCUAAACAAUACACAAGCAGAAGCCAUCAAGAGCAAGUCCUAGAAGAUGUGGUAUGAUAAAUAUCCAAAGUUGCUACAGUGAAUUACCUAAAAUUCCCAGUUUUCAACAAAAAAUAUGAAAUAUUUUUUCUCAUACAGGAA